This 369-nucleotide ribosomal RNA is filed under the name Triticum aestivum (bread wheat). RNAcentral describes it as "partial small subunit ribosomal RNA". Lineage: Eukaryota; Viridiplantae; Streptophyta; Magnoliopsida; Poales; Poaceae. The record is from RNAcentral.
AUGGAGUCUAAUGAUGGAUCAUCCGGUUCAUCAAGUGAAACAAUCAAUGAAAUAGAAAAUCAUCCAGAAUGUCGCUAUAUGACACCAAAUGAGAUUGUUUGGCGCUUGCCAGAGAGAAUGAAGAUUGAUUCAGUAUCCAGGUUCCCCGUAAGUUAUGUCAUAAAGAAAAGCUUCUCGGUUGACAAUGCACAAGUGUUACCUUCUACAAAGCCAUAUCCAUGCAAAGAAAUGAUGACCCAUCCAUCUUCGAAGAAUAUCGAGAGUGCGAUGACCCAUACACCAGAGGAUGCAAACAAUACUACACCUCCCUCUUGCCAACCCGCAACUAAUGUCAUUGAGAAAAAAAUAGGUACUCUUUGGCUAAAAUGA